Tupaia belangeri chinensis (Chinese tree shrew) is the source of this 234-nucleotide long non-coding RNA. RefSeq lists it as uncharacterized. The transcript is spliced from 3 exons. NCBI's taxonomy places the organism in Eukaryota, Metazoa, Chordata, Mammalia, Scandentia, Tupaiidae. The record is from RefSeq and is a predicted model, not a curated record.
GUUGUGCCAGGGAGGCAGGCGUUACCUCCAGCUCCCGCAGGACGGGGUGGUCCUCGAUGCCUGGGAACAGGACUCGCAUGGCAUGUAGUUAAAACACAGACAGAGGGAGGACAUCAUUACUGGGUAAUUCCCUGAAGAUGCUGGAACUGCUGAAACAGGGCCACACGGGACUCCAGGUUGUCCAUCUGCAUUUGGAGCCGCUUGAGCGUGAGGUCGUUUUCUCGAGACUUGCGC